CAGUUACCAUCAGCUUCAGGAUAGUGGUGCCUGCUGCCUGGUCUAACUGCAGUUUAACACAUAACACCAAAGGCAGUUUAGUGUUACAACAUUAUUUCACAUACACUUGUGACACAUACUGUAGAUAGGAAACAAAGCAAGUAACUGUGUUACACCCAACAUUUGUUCUGAAAUGCUAUAUAAUGCCAUGGUUUUAGAAAAAUUACAAUACCACUAUAUGAGUAUAUAAGUUUUACAAAUCAUUAACAACUCAACUCUGACAUGUCAUUCCCAUAAAAAAAAUAUUUUGAGAUAAUAGUCAAUGUGAAAAAUGCCAGUGAGGAUGAAGGACUGUGUGGAAGGCACUUAAGGAGAGUGGGUGAGGCCACCUGGAUGACAGCGGUGGCAUUGGCAGCGGAGAAGACGGGAGGGUUGUCAUUCACGUCAGAAAUGUCCACGUUGAUGGUGACGGUGGAGGACAUGGCCGGCGAGCCGCUGUCAAACGCCUGCACAGCCAGCGAGUAGCUGGAGACCUUGGAGUGGGGACACGGCGAGACAAGACAAGGACAUUUAGAAACAAACAAACAUCAAAUAAAUAAAAAAUAAAAAAGGAAAUAUCAAAACAGGUGCUGUUAAAGUAGAGGAGACAGAACGGUGUCAAACAGGCGCUGAAACAGCACAGCUGCAUUGCAGUGUCAAAGCCCCAAAACACACAGGAGAGAGCUGCCCACUCAUACACAUCCACCAGUUAAAACACACAGGAGAGAGCUGCCCACUCAUACACAUCCACACAAGAGAGAGCUGCCCACUCAUACACAUCCACCAGUUAAAACACACAGUUCAUAUCAGAGGAUCUGCUACAUUUGUCAUUUGGGUGCAUUGCGGGUUAUACGUCAUCUUGUAGUAGAUUAUAGAUUCACUCAUACAUAUUUACCAGUUAAAACUAAUAUUUCACAUGAGAGUAUCUUCUAUAUUUGUCAUUUGAGUGCAUUAUGAGUUAUUGUAUAAUAUAAGCAUAUUCUAGUAGAUUGUAG
This is a long non-coding RNA of Clupea harengus (Atlantic herring), 1013 nucleotides long. Lineage: Eukaryota; Metazoa; Chordata; Actinopteri; Clupeiformes; Clupeidae. The record is from Ensembl.